AGUGAACGCUGGCGGUAGGCCUAACACAUGCAAGUCGAACGGCAGCACAGUAAGAGCUUGCCCUUACGGGUGGCGAGUGGCGGACGGGUGAGGAAUACAUCGGAAUCUACUUUUUCGUGGGGGAUAACGUAGGGAAACUUACGCUAAUACCGCAUACGACCUACGGGUGAAAGCAGGGGAUCUUCGGACCUUGCGCGAUUGAAUGAGCCGAUGUCGGAUUAGCUAGUUGGCGGGGUAAAGGCCCACCAAGGCGACGAUCCGUAGCUGGUCUGAGAGGAUGAUCAGCCACACUGGAACUGAGACACUGUCCAGACUCCUACGGGAGGCAGCAGUGGGGAAUAUUGGACAAUGGGCGCAAGCCUGAUCCAGCCAUACCGCGUGGGUGAAGAAGGCCUUCGGGUUGUAAAGCCCUUUUGUUGGGAAAGAAAAGCAGCAGGUUAAUACCCCGCUGUUCUGACGGUACCCAAAGAAUAAGCACCGGCUAACUUCGUG
This 492-nucleotide ribosomal RNA is filed under the name uncultured bacterium. Its description in RNAcentral is "partial 16S ribosomal RNA". It matches the Rfam family "Bacterial small subunit ribosomal RNA", at positions 29 to 507 of the family's 1533-position model. The record is from RNAcentral.